UGGCGGACGGGUGAGUAACGCGUGGGUAACCUGCCUUACACAGGGGGAUAACACCUGGAAAUAGGUGCUAAUACCGCAUAAGCGCACAGCUUCGCAUGAAGCGGUGUGAAAAACUCUGGUGGUAUACGAUGGUUCCGCGUCUGAUUAGCUAGUUGGUGGGGUAAUGGCCUACCAAGGCAACGAUCAGUAGCCGGCCUGAGAGGGUGAACGGCCACAUUGGGACUGAGACACGGCCCAAACUCCUACGGAAGGCAGCAG
This 258-nucleotide ribosomal RNA is filed under the name uncultured bacterium. Its description in RNAcentral is "partial 16S ribosomal RNA". It matches the Rfam family "Bacterial small subunit ribosomal RNA", at positions 96 to 354 of the family's 1533-position model. The record is from RNAcentral.